AGCUUUGCGCAGUGGCGAUAUCGUAACCAAUGAGGUUUAUCCGAGGUGCGAUUAUUGCUAGUUGGAAAAAAACAUAUCUGACUAAUAGAACGAUAACUUUUGAACGAAACGUUCAAUUUCAACCAAAUUUGGU
RNAcentral lists this small nuclear RNA (133 nucleotides) under Diabrotica virgifera virgifera (western corn rootworm). RNAcentral's name for it is "U4 spliceosomal RNA". It matches the Rfam family "U4 spliceosomal RNA". Rfam says of the family: U4 small nuclear RNA (U4 snRNA) is a component of the major U2-dependent spliceosome. The structure of U4 snRNA from yeast and human has been reported. The record is from Rfam by way of RNAcentral. Lineage: Eukaryota; Metazoa; Arthropoda; Insecta; Coleoptera; Chrysomelidae.